UGCAACAUCCUGUGCCAGUGCCUGCAGCAACAUCAGCUGUUUGACUCCUUCAAUAGGCACAUCAUUUUGGUGUUCCGUACCUACCACUGCGAACACAGCACAUCACCCGGGACAUCCGCUCUACACGAUCCUGAACAUGGCAGAGACGCCAUUCAUGCCUGACGUUAUGAAGCCUUCCGAUAAUGUCAAUCUGGUAUCGCGGACCUCGAUGCUAAAGAAACCAUGCUGGCAAUACUCACAUCGCUGUGUCUGCUGACUUUUGUAGUCCUUGUGGUCUCCUUCGUGAUUACUUCCAGCAGUCCUGUGAGGGCUGACUCGGACGUCGACUACACGGAGGACCUUGCUCAGCUGAUAGUAGCCCCUGUUGUGGUCAAAGAAGCCGAAGGUACUGUCCCAACGAAGCGCGAAAUAAAAGGUAGUCCAAACGUCACGGCACAUUCGGUGCCUACUACUGCGUCGAUAGUUAAGUGUUCUUGUAGAGGUGGAGCACGUUAAAGUCCAGAUUUUUUUAUGCUUAGGUUGCAUGUUCCUUACUCAUGGUGACGAUGGCAAUGACGAGGACCACUUUACAACGUACCCACUAUAUGAUACGAAAAUGAAGAAUGAGAUUGUUCUAGACCAUACAUUGUCUUUCUGCCGCUGAUGAAAACGAGCGUCAGUGUGCUCUCGCUCACGAAAGGCAACACCGACACAGACAGCAAGCCGCCCCAGAGGCGAAAGCUAAGGAAAUUGCGGAAAAGCACAACGCCGACAACAUCCUGCGAUUCCAAAGUUGAGGGCACGGGAAGUGGAGGCUCAACGGCAAAAAGACAAUGCUUGCACCAUAAACACACAUUGUAACUCAUUUAAAUUUGCGGUAAGAACAACCCGCAGCGAAUUGCCCAUUCCUCCUGAUUCACUCCAGGCAGAUCCAAAGGUCCUGGCGUUGAAUCCCUGCCGCGACGGCUGCAUUCCCGAUGAGGCUAGGAUGU
This is a long non-coding RNA of Rhipicephalus microplus (southern cattle tick), 971 nucleotides long. NCBI's taxonomy places the organism in Eukaryota, Metazoa, Arthropoda, Arachnida, Ixodida, Ixodidae. The record is from RefSeq and is a predicted model, not a curated record.